CCUACGGGAGACAGCAGUGAGGAAUAUUGGUCAAUGGACGAGAGUCUGAACCAGCCAAGUAGCGUGAAGGAUGACUGCCCUAUGGGUUGUAAACUUCUUUUAUAAAGGAAUAAAACGAGGCACGUGUGCCUUUUUGCAUGUACUUUAUGAAUAAGGAUCGGCUAACCCCGUGCCAGCAGCCGCGGUAAUACGGAGGAUCCGAGCGUUAUCCGGAUUUAUUGGGUUUAAAGGGAGCGUAGAUGGGUUGUUAAGUCAGUUGUGAAAGUUUGCGGCUCAACCGUAAAAUUGCAAUUGAUACUGGCAGUCUUGAGUACAGGUGAGGUAAGCGGAAUGCGUGGUGUAGCGGUGAAAUGCUUAGAUAUCACGAAGAACCCCGAUUGCGAAGGCAGCAUACUAAACUGUGACUGACAUUGAUGCACGAAAGUGUGGGUAUCAAACAGGAUUAGAUACCCUAGUAGUC
RNAcentral lists this ribosomal RNA (460 nucleotides) under uncultured bacterium. Its description in RNAcentral is "partial 16S ribosomal RNA". It matches the Rfam family "Bacterial small subunit ribosomal RNA", at positions 338 to 795 of the family's 1533-position model. The record is from RNAcentral.